UUUUUUUUCCUUUUGGUGUCGCAAAAUGGCAACGGCACACACUUCCCAUUUUAACACAGACCACCAUUUGAGCCGUAGCAGCUGUGACAUGUCGUUCUCUGGAGAGAUUGGUGCCCACAGGGACUCUUCAGUUUCAGAUUGCUUGUCAGAGGUAGAUUUGGAGAGUGGGGCUUUGGAGGGGAAGCUGCAUUUGGAUGAUAAAACUGACAGAGAUUGCAGAAUUUGCCAUUUGGUUUUGGAGAGUAAUGAGCUAGAGAAUGGGGCAGCUAUUGAGUUGGGGUGUUCCUGUAAGGGUGAUUUGGGUGCUGCACAUAAGAAGUGUGCAGAGACUUGGUUCAAGAUCAAGGGUAACAUGAUAUGCGAGAUAUGUGGUGUCACUGCACUCAAUGUUGCUGGCGAACAGGCAAAUGGGGCACACAGUGCUACCGCUGCUCUCUCAUCAGCACCGACAGCACCUCUAAUAUCGGUGGAAACUCGAACAUUCUGGCAUAGCCGGCGCAUUAUGAAUUUCUUGCUUGCUUGCAUGGUCUUUGCAUUUGUCAUUUCUUGGCUCUUCCACUUCAAAGUCCUUUCAUGAGUCGACGCAAGAGGAAGUAGCCCAAGGGACAAGGUGUCAUCCCCAACUCUCAAUUGGUUGCUUUGGUACCUUAUUCACACGUAUCCUCAAUUACCCUUAAAUGUCUUACUUAGAGGUGGUUCCACAUUAGCAUGCUACCUUGUGUACUUGUAAACGUUAUGUUGUAAUCAUGUAUUAGUUCUGGUUUCUUCUAUGUAAAAUUGUUUGAACACUACCUUUGAAAGAAAAGAAGCAAGUCUUUU
Molecule: unclassified non-coding RNA, 819 nt
Filed under: Hevea brasiliensis (rubber tree)
Lineage: Eukaryota; Viridiplantae; Streptophyta; Magnoliopsida; Malpighiales; Euphorbiaceae
Source: RNAcentral